This 253-nucleotide ribosomal RNA is filed under the name uncultured bacterium. Its description in RNAcentral is "partial 16S ribosomal RNA". It matches the Rfam family "Bacterial small subunit ribosomal RNA", at positions 524 to 776 of the family's 1533-position model. The record is from RNAcentral.
UACGUAGGGUGCGAGCGUUAAUCGGAAUACUGGGCGUAAAGCGUGCGCAGGCGGUGAUGUAAGACAGUUGUGAAAUCCCCGGGCUCAACCUGGGAAUUGCAUCUGUGACUGCAUAGCUAGAGUACGGUAGAGGGGGAUGGAAUUCCGCGUGUAGCAGUGAAAUGCGUAGAUAUGCGGAGGAACACCGAUGGCGAAGGCAAUCCCCUGGACCUGUACUGACGCUCAUGCACGAAAGGCGUGGGGAGCAAACAGG